AUUGAACGCUGGCGGCAGGCCUAACGCAUGCGAGUCGAGCGGAUGAAGGGAGCUUGCUCCUGGAUUCAGCGGCGGACGGGUGAGUAAUGCCUAGGAAUCUGCCUGGUAGUGGGGGAUAACGUCCGGAAACGGGCGCUAAUACCGCAUACGUCCUGAGGGAGAAAGUGGGGGAUCUUCGGACCUCACGCUAUCAGAUGAGCCUAGGUCGGAUUAGCUAGUUGGUGGGGUAAAGGCCUACCAAGGCGACGAUCCGUAACUGGUCUGAGAGGAUGAUCAGUCACACUGGAACUGAGACACGGUCCAGACUCCUACGGGAGGCAGCAGUGGGGAAUAUUGGACAAUGGGCGAAAGCCUGAUCCAGCCAUGCCGCGUGUGUGAAGAAGGUCUUCGGAUUGUAAAGCACUUUAAGUUGGGAGGAAGGGCAGUAAGUUAAUACCUUGCUGUUUUGACGGUACCAACAGAAUAAGCACCGGCUAACUUCGUG
RNAcentral lists this ribosomal RNA (484 nucleotides) under uncultured bacterium. RNAcentral describes it as "partial 16S ribosomal RNA". It matches the Rfam family "Bacterial small subunit ribosomal RNA", at positions 30 to 507 of the family's 1533-position model. The record is from RNAcentral.